This 206-nucleotide ribosomal RNA is filed under the name uncultured bacterium. Its description in RNAcentral is "partial 16S ribosomal RNA". It matches the Rfam family "Bacterial small subunit ribosomal RNA", at positions 169 to 391 of the family's 1533-position model. The record is from RNAcentral.
CUGUAUAAUCCCCGAGGGGGAAAGAUUUAUCGCUAUUAGAUGAGCCUACGUUAGAUUAGCUAGUUGGUGAGGUAAUGGCUUACCAAGGCUAUGAUCUAUAGCUGGUCUGAGAGGACGAUCAGCCACACUGGAACUGAGAUACGGUCCAGACUCCUACGGGAGGCAGCAGUGGGGAAUAUUGGACAAUGGGCGAAAGCCUGAUCCAG